Molecule: ribosomal RNA, 118 nt
Filed under: Saimiri boliviensis boliviensis (Bolivian squirrel monkey)
Lineage: Eukaryota; Metazoa; Chordata; Mammalia; Primates; Cebidae
Source: RNAcentral
GUCUAUGGCCAAGCCACCCUGAACACGUCUGAUCUCGCCUGAUCUUGGAAGCUAAGCAGGGUUGGGCCUGGUUAGUACUUGCAUGGGAGACAGUCUGGGAAUACAGGUGCUGUAAGCU